This 595-nucleotide long non-coding RNA is filed under the name Pan troglodytes (chimpanzee). RNAcentral describes it as "long non-coding RNA NONPTRT009114". Lineage: Eukaryota; Metazoa; Chordata; Mammalia; Primates; Hominidae. The record is from RNAcentral.
GGAGUGGGUAGGUGCAAGAGAAGCCUAGGUUGUGAGCACUGGCUCAGGGCUGCAUCUGCCUGGUGAAAGGGUGCCCUUUUCAAGUAACACAAAUGCACCCUGUGGGCUACUGGCUACCCGGUUCUUGCUUCAAUACCACACUCCUCCUGAGGCAGGAAGAUUUCAUUCAAGUUAGUGCAGUAGAAGAAGCCUAGAUUUUGGAGUCUGGUUUGAAUCCCAACUCUACCACCCACCAGCUGUGUGACAUUUAAAACUUAACCUGUCUGAAUCUGGAUCUGUUAGGAUUCCUUGAGCGUAAGCAACAGAAUUCAGCUCUGAGUAAAUGAAGUUAAAAAGAGAAAUUACUGAAGAAAUAAGGUGGCUCACAGAAUCAAAGCAAUGCUGAAGGAGCAAGGCAGGCAGCUCUGGGAUCCAAGACGCGGGAGCUAAGUGGGGGGAUUGCAUCAUUUGGACCCAUUCUUCACCUCUCCCCGCAUCCAUGCCCUUUGCAGGUCACUUUGCAGCACCCACCCAUCAUGGGUGGGGUGAAUUGCCCCAACCCAUGACUCUAGACUCAGGAUGUAAACCCUAACCCUACUCCCCGCCCCACAACAAU